CCUACGUGGCGCUGCAGUGAGGAAUAUUGGUCAAUGGGCGCGAGCCUGAACCAGCCAAGUAGCGUGAAGGAUGACUGCCCUACGGGUUGUAAACUUCUUUUAUAAAGGAAUAAAGUCAGGCACAUGUGCCUUUUUGUAUGUACUUUAUGAAUAAGAAUCGGCUAACUCCGUUCCAGCAGCCGCGUUAAUACGGAGGAUCCGAGGUUUAUCCGGAUUUAUUGGGUUUAAAGGGAGCGUAGAUGGGUUGUUAAGUCAGUUGUGAAAGUUUGCGGCUCAACCGGAAAAUUGCAAUUGAUACUGGCAGUCUUGAGUACAGUUGAGGUAGGCGGAAUUCGUGGUGUAGCGGUGAAAUGCUUAGAUAUCACGAAGAACUCCGAUUGCGAAGGCAGCUUACUAAACUGCCACUGACAUUGAUGCUCGAAAGUGUGGGUAUCAAACAGGAUUAGAUACCCUUGUAGUC
This 460-nucleotide ribosomal RNA is filed under the name uncultured bacterium. RNAcentral describes it as "partial 16S ribosomal RNA". It matches the Rfam family "Bacterial small subunit ribosomal RNA", at positions 338 to 795 of the family's 1533-position model. The record is from RNAcentral.